AGCGAACGCUGGCGGCAGGCCUAACACAUGCAAGUCGAACGAACCUUUCGGGGUUAGUGGCGGACGGGUGAGUAACACGUGGGAACGUGCCUUUAGGUUCGGAAUAACUCAGGGAAACUUGUGCUAAUACCGAAUGUGCCCUUCGGGGGAAAGAUUUAUCGCCUUUAGAGCGGCCCGCGUCUGAUUAGGUAGUUGGUUGAGGUAAUGGCUCACCACGGCGAGGAGCAGUAGCUGGUCUGAGAGGAUGAUCAGCCACAUUGGGACUGAGACACGGCCCAAACUCCUACGGGAGGCAGCAGUGGGGAAUCUUGCGCAAGGGGCGAAAGCCUGACGCAGCCAUGCCGCGUGAAUGAUGAAGGUCUUAGGAUUGUAAAAUUCUUUCACCGGGGACGAUAAUGACGGUACCCGGAGAAGAAGCCCCGGCUAACUUCGU
RNAcentral lists this ribosomal RNA (433 nucleotides) under uncultured bacterium. RNAcentral's name for it is "partial 16S ribosomal RNA". It matches the Rfam family "Bacterial small subunit ribosomal RNA", at positions 29 to 506 of the family's 1533-position model. The record is from RNAcentral.